GAUUGCGUCAGCGAUGGCGUACGAACCUUCUCUUAUUCCGGCUCUGCUCGCAGCAUACACGCUCACGCCGACCAACACACACACACACACACACACACACACACCCGGGCGUACACGCGAAAAUAGAGACAAAUGUGGUUUCUCGCUGCUCUUCUUCUCGGAUCUGCGUUCCUGGCGUCUCUGUGGCACAGCGUUGUGCGUUACGUGCCCCUCGCAAUGCGGUCACCGCACCGAGGUGCCAUGAAGGUUGGCGUGGUGCUGGGCUCUGGUGGACACACGAGUGAGAUGCUGCGCGCCAUUACGGAGCUACCGUUGUCUUACUGGUUAGACACGCGUCCGUUCUACGUUGUAAGCGCCACAGAUCCGCACUCGGCCAGCUUGGCCUCACAGCUGGAGCAGCAGCGCUUCGAGAGGCGCGUCGUCGUGCACACCAUUCCACGCGCACGCGAGGUCGGCCAGAGCUACUUGACGUCGAUCAUCACCACAAUCAGGGCAACCCUCGCGUGCUUUCGGCUUGUUUGCGCUGAGAAGCCGGACGUGCUGCUCACGAAUGGCCCGGGCGUGUGCGUGCCUGUAAUCGUGGCGGCCGUUUGCGUGGCAUCGUGCGCGCCGUGGUGGUACGGGCGCCCUGCCAUUGUCUACAUGGAGUCCUUCACGUGCGUAUCGCACCUCUCCCUGACAGGGUGCCUGCUGGCGCCGUGGCUGGCGGACGUCUUUACGGUGCACUGGCGUGCUCUGGAGAGAGCUGUGACUCGACGCCGCCGCCGCGGCACGCUGGUGCACGUUGGAUCGGAGACAGCGCGUGUCACAGACGGCGCACCACAUCGCCUCCGGUCUCUUGCUGCGGAGCAGGAGGCCUACGCGCUGGUGACGGUGGGGUCGACAAAGUUCUCCUCGCUGGUGCAGGCGGUGCUGCAGCCCGGCGUUUGCGCCGCCCUGCACCAGCGCUUCGGCAUCAAGCGUCUCUACGUGCAGCAUGGCACCGCUGAGGUGGUAGCACCUCCAGAGGCGACUCUACUGCCCGCACUGCCGACAGCCGCUGGCGCAGAUGCUUCUCAUCCGACGCAGCAGUGGAGCUGUGGGGGCCUCCUCGUGGAGGCCUUCCCGUACCGACCUUGCCUGGAGGCCGUGAUCCGUGGCGCCACCCUCGUCAUCACCCACGCUGGUGCCGGCACCAUCUUGGAAGGACUGCAAGCGCAGCGGCCCUUGGUGGUGGUGCCGAAUCGUCAGCUGAUGUCUGACCACCAGCUGGAUCUCGCUGAGGCUCUUGCCAACGGUGGCUUUCUCUUCUGCGUUCAAGUUGGUGAGCUGGCAGAGAGGCUGCCGUUGCUUGACCUGACAACGCUUCGACCACACGGUGGCAUGGAUGCCGCGCAGCUUCAGGAGGCGCUUCGGCUGGUGCUGACGGGGCAUUCUGCAAGCGGUGAGAGGGCGAAGGCCGAGUAGGCGCGCGUGUGUGCGUGUGCGCUGCGCAAUCGACCACGGCGGCCACUGCAGCCUCUUUUUUCUUUUGCGUGUGCGCACAACUCUCGGUCGAUCCUCGUCUUCCUCGGCGCUGCUCUUCGUUUUCUGUGCUCUGCGGGUUCGCCGCACUGUCCCUCUGCUCACAAGCUCGCAGUGUGUUUGUCUAUGCAAAGCAGAGAAAGCGAAUGGGGCACAGAAUGUGCUGCCAUACUCUCUGGCACGUGAAGGACGCGUCGCACACUCGUCAGUUGCGCAUUGUUGGUGCCUACACUGCUGUGGAAGCGCCUCAGCGAGGAGCAUGAUGCGCGCCGUUGACAAGGCGUACUCUAGCCGACCCUUGGCACGCACGCAGGCGCAUGAAUGUACCUGUAUGAGCUGCUCAAGCACCUCUUGGUGCACCUGCAGUGCGACUUUUGCACUGUGGCGUCUGGAAGCUCUCUGGCUGCUGUAACUAUCGUUGCCGCUCGUGCGCUUCCUCCCUGCUUUGCCGCAACUGGCCCUACUGUGUGGCUGCGCACGGGAUUUUAUAUGGCUUGCUUGUCUCCCUCUCUCCGGUGGAUGGAGCUGUCUUUCCGCAG
RNAcentral lists this unclassified non-coding RNA (2042 nucleotides) under Leishmania donovani. RNAcentral describes it as "gene:LdHU3.30.0730(CDS-product:glycosyltransferas e_family_28_protein_putative)". Lineage: Eukaryota; Euglenozoa; Kinetoplastea; Trypanosomatida; Trypanosomatidae. The record is from RNAcentral.